RNAcentral lists this ribosomal RNA (406 nucleotides) under uncultured bacterium. Its description in RNAcentral is "partial 16S ribosomal RNA". It matches the Rfam family "Bacterial small subunit ribosomal RNA", at positions 30 to 526 of the family's 1533-position model. The record is from RNAcentral.
AUUGAACGCUGGCGGCAGGCUUAACACAUGCAAGUCGAGCGAGUGGCGGACGGGUGAGUAAUGUCUGGGAAACUGCCUGAUGGAGGGGGAUAACUACUGGAAACGGUAGCUAAUACCGCAUACCAUCGGAUGUGCCCAUAUGGGAUUAGCUAGUCGGUGGGGUAAAGGCUCACAUAGGCGACGAUCCCUAGCUGGUCUGAGAGGAUGACCAGCCACACUGUAACUGAGACACGGCCCAUACUCCUACGGGAGGCAGCAGUGGGGAAUAUUGGACAAGGGGGGAAAGCCUGAUGCAGCCAUGCCGCGUGUAUGAAGAAGGCCUUCGGGGUGUAAAGUACUUUCAGCGGGGAGGCGUUACCCGCAGAAGAAGCACCGGCUAACUCCGUGCCAGCAGCCGCGGUAAUAC